This 253-nucleotide ribosomal RNA is filed under the name uncultured bacterium. RNAcentral's name for it is "partial 16S ribosomal RNA". It matches the Rfam family "Archaeal small subunit ribosomal RNA", at positions 474 to 727 of the family's 1478-position model. The record is from RNAcentral.
UACCAGCACCCCGAGUGGUCGGCGCGAUUAUUGGGCCUAAAGCAUCCGUAGCCGGUUCUACAAGUCUUCCGUUAAAUCCACCUGCUUAACAGAUGGGCUGCGGAGGAUACUAUAGAGCUAGGAGGCGGGAGAGGCAAGCGGUACUUAGUGGGUAGGGGUAAAAUCCGUUGAUCCAUUGAAGACCACCAGUGGCGAAGGCGGCUUGCCAGAACGCACUCGACGGUGAGGGAUGAAAGCUGGGGGAGCAAACCGG